RNAcentral lists this ribosomal RNA (206 nucleotides) under Schizochytrium aggregatum. RNAcentral's name for it is "partial Eukaryotic small subunit ribosomal RNA". It matches the Rfam family "Eukaryotic small subunit ribosomal RNA", at positions 1484 to 1689 of the family's 1831-position model. The record is from RNAcentral. Lineage: Eukaryota; Bigyra; Thraustochytrida; Thraustochytriidae.
GGGCCGCACGCGCGCUACACUGACAGAGCCAACGAGUUCAUUUCCUUAGCCGAAAGGUUUGGGUAAUCUUGUUAAACUCUGUCGUGCUGGGGAUAGAGCAUUGCAAUUAUUGCUCUUCAACGAGGAAUGCCUAGUAAGCGCAUGUCAUCAGCAUGCGUUGAUUACGUCCCUGCCCUUUGUAUACACCGCCCGUCGCACCUACCGAU